UGUUGCCUACGGGAGGCAGCAGUGAGGAAUAUUGGUCAAUGGACGCAAGUCUGAACCAGCCAAGUAGCGUGCAGGAUGACGGCCCUCCGGGUUGUAAACUGCUUUUAGUUGGGAAUAAAAGGGGGCUCGUGAGCCCCGUAUUGUAUGUACCAUCAGAAAAAGGACCGGCUAAUUCCGUGCCAGCAGCCGCGGUAAUACGGAAGGUCCGGGCGUUAUCCGGUUUUAUUGGGUUUAAAUGGAGCGUAGGCCAGCUUUUAAGUCAGCUGUGAAAGUCCGCGGCUCAACAGUG
This 289-nucleotide ribosomal RNA is filed under the name uncultured bacterium. RNAcentral's name for it is "partial 16S ribosomal RNA". It matches the Rfam family "Bacterial small subunit ribosomal RNA", at positions 333 to 617 of the family's 1533-position model. The record is from RNAcentral.